Brienomyrus brachyistius is the source of this 2159-nucleotide long non-coding RNA. RefSeq lists it as uncharacterized. Lineage: Eukaryota; Metazoa; Chordata; Actinopteri; Osteoglossiformes; Mormyridae. The record is from RefSeq and is a predicted model, not a curated record. The transcript is spliced from 3 exons.
CAGGUAGCUUCAGUAUCAUUGUAACUGAACAUAGACAGACAGUUAAGCUCAUGGGAGGCCAGAUGGUGAAUUGAAUGAAAGAGACAACAUUAAAUAUAAAAAAAGAAACAGGACCUUGAUAUAACCCAAAGCUGUCAGUUCAGCACCCAAGAGAUGCUCUGCUGCGGACCCUCCAGCUAGGUGCCAUUAGCCUUUUAAGUGUAUCUGGGGGGGGCAGAAGGUGUGAGGGACUCCAGCACAUUCGCACAAUCCCUGCUCACACUGCCUCCCACGCAUCGCUGGAGGAGGAAGACCCCCCAACACACCCCCCCUCCCCCCUCGCCAAUACUGCAGUGCCUGCAAGAGGGAGGGAGGCAGAGAGAGAGAGAGAGAGAGAGAGAGAGAGGGAGUACUGACGCUCUACAGGAAUCCCUGCUCUCUCUGCAGCCCCCCAGAUCACGGCGACCCACCCAUGUCUGAGACGCCCCUGUAGGCUGAUGUACACAAACAGCGCCACCCAGCUUCUCAUUAUUUAACUGAGAACAUGGAAACCCACCAGGAAAAAAAAGCGUAAUUUCAUUGAUCGAGAGAAAAAAGGAGGACAUGAAAUUUUACUGGCUAACCUGAGCAUGGUCUAAGGUGCAGAGGAGUACUAUAGAACUGCUAUUUUGUGUGUUUGUGCUGGAUCGAUAACAGCCUAGCCUGAGGAUGGAGGCUUACCGGAGCGCCAAGCAGGCUGCGAUAGGGCCUUCAAAUGGCAAACUCGGCUGGGUAGCCUCCCGCUGCGCCCGAUCUUUGAGCAAUGACCUUCUACACUAGAUGAGUAUGCCUGUGUGUGUAUGUGUGUGUGUGUGUGUGUGCGUGUGUGUUCGCGAUUGAGCCCUUUCUUGUGCACAUACAGUACAUUUCUGUGCGCAUAUUGUGUAUGACUGAUGUGUGUGCAUUUAUGAUUAUGCUUUUGCUGUUUGCUAUGCUUUUCAGUCUUCCCACAUUUUUGACAUAUUUCCAUGCCACCGUAAUUUGCACUUAUGUGGGCACAUAAAGAAUAAAUAUCUCCAUAAGGGGUACGAUUCCUGAAAAAACAAAAAUGUCUUUUUCUGCCUUUACUGCAUUCUCACCUGAACUCGUAACAGCAAAUGAUGUUGCCGUGACUGGGCUGAGAAAGGUGUGUGUGCAGUAUGUGUUUGUGUCUCCUUCAGGACCUCGGAGGUGCAGAGGGUACCAUUAUCUCCCCCUCUGCCCGCUGUACCGUGACUCAGACAUCGCCACUGUAUAAUGCCUCACAUGAAAACCUCAUGCUCCCCAUCAGGAUAAGGGCGUGUGACAGUGGACCCAGGAUGGCAGCCAGUAUCCCCCCGGCCAGUCUGGCCCACGCGCCUCUCAUCCCCGCAUGCGUCUGUAGCCCCGCCUUCCGAUCAGAACCUGCCCUUUCCCUUUCACAAUCGUCUAAUGUCAGGAAUGCUCUGCCGGACCUGCCUGAAUAAAACAUCCUGACAGCACCUGCGGUGUCCAGCACCAUGGAAACGUAAAGGUCCGGCAGAGGCUAGCCAUUGUUUGAAGGAGCCGGGGGUUGGGGGCCACGCGGAUUCGGAGCAGCGGUCCCAGACACGGCAGGGGAGCAUCCCAUAUGCAGACUCCCAACAAGGGCAGGAAACAAGAGCCAAAAUUUUUUUAAAAAAAAGCUGUUGGGGUUUAAAGUGUAGAAAUGUUGCUAUUUGAUGCCCAUUGUCUGUUCUUCGCGAUGCAGUGACUCCAUUACCGGAAGAAAGAGUUUCAUAAACGACCUUUGGAGGUAGAAUAGCACGCCAGUCUGUUUGAAGUUAGCGCCCCCCCCAGGGAGUACAUUAGCCCCGCUGUGAUAAGAGCGCAGCCGGCUGCUGGGGCCCUUUGCUUUGCUUACAGCGUGUCACCUGACCCCAGACAGGCCUCCAGCCUUCACAACACCUAAAUGUCAUGUUUCCCGUGUGUGACUGUCCUUCAGCCCACUCCCCGAGAGCAAAGUGGGCACCUCUGCCUGACAUAUAAGGGUUCCGUUUCAGCCAGGUGUGACAAAGGCCUCCGCAAACAGCACAGAACACACAGCCAUCUCUGUGCAUUGGCGUGAUGGUAUUGAAACUGCAACCGUACAUAGCAGUUAAUAAAAAUUGCUUGAUACUGCAGCAGUGAAGUGCACAGAUUUU